This 71-nucleotide transfer RNA is filed under the name bacterium. RNAcentral describes it as "tRNA-OTHER". It matches the Rfam family "tRNA". From Rfam's summary of the family: Transfer RNA (tRNA) molecules are approximately 80 nucleotides in length. The record is from RNAcentral.
UCGGGGGUCGUCUAAGGGUUAGGACGCCGGCUUGGUUGCCGGAAAUCGGGGUUCGAAUCCCCGCCCCUGGG